Molecule: long non-coding RNA, 1471 nt
Organism: Anas platyrhynchos (mallard)
Lineage: Eukaryota; Metazoa; Chordata; Aves; Anseriformes; Anatidae
Source: RefSeq, a predicted model, not a curated record
GUAAUUCUUCUGCAGCUUCUCCUCCAUGAGGAUCCGCGUCUGCUCGCUCGCGUUCAGCUGCCGGCUCAGGUCGGCGAUCCUGUCCUGGAGGCGCUGCACCUCCUUCUGAUGGUCCCGCUGCAAAGCCUGCUGCAUCUCCAGGUCGCUCUUGAGCUUGGCCAGGGUCUGCUCCUUGAUGGAGAGCUCGGCGGCCGCGUUGCUGAGCCUCGCCUGCAGGCUCUGAAUCUCGGCUUCGUGGUGCCGGAUCACGUCCUUAGCCUCGGCGUAGCUGCGUUUCAGCGACUGAAUCUGCUGAUUGAUCAGCUCUUGACGCCGGCACUGGGCUUCCAGCUCGCUUUGGAGGUCUUGGUUGACUUUGUGGAGCCUCUGCCAGGCACCUGAUGGCGAGGCGGCCACCUCGGUCUUAAAAAAAUUGAUUAAAUACGAGAUUAGUAACACUCUUGGCUCUCCCUUCUGAGUGUCACACCUCUGGCCAGGCAGGCCAUGGAAAAGCUCCUCACAGCGAUUUGGCUGCUACCCACAUGCUCCAAUUGGGAUGAUUUGUUCUUGGCACAAUUUUAUUUUGUUUUAACCAACUUUUUUUUUUCUCUCUUUUUUUUUUUUUUUAAAUGAGCGACAACUGCUUUCCAGUAACAGAAAACAUGGACCGUAACAUCAAAACAGCUGUACAGUAACAGGCUAAAAAGAAAACAACCAAAAUCAAACAGAACCAAAAAAAAAACAAUGAAAAAAAAAAAAAAAGAAACACCAGCAGUAAAACAGAGACGGACAGACGAGAGAAAAACUGGAAGGGUGAGAAGGAGGAGGGGACGGGAACAGGCCGGGGAGAAAGGAAUUGCUUUUUUUUAGUGUGUUUGUUCAUUUUGUCAUGAAACAAAAAGUGCACAGUUCAGGUACCACAGUCCUACCGAACAAAAGCAACAACAGAAAGUGAGGUGGCAGCAAAUGACAUCACAUCCCACCGAAACGCAGGGAGACAGGACAGCCGGCGUGGCGAUGUCAUUUCUGUGACUGCUAGACAGGACUUAUUGGCUGCUCAUCGCAUUAGAGAGAUGGUGUUAUGCUAAAGUUUAAGGCUAGGAAGGAUUCUAAUUUCGCUACCUGCAAAAAAAACAAACAAACAAACGAAAAAGGACAAAAUAAAAAGCCCGACAAGUGAAGGAGGGGUGGGGGGAACAGGUGUGAUGAGAAUGUAAAACGAAAGAAACCAACCUUUGUGAGAUUCAAACCAAAGCAGUGUAGCAUGCAAAGAGAAAACUCACACAGAGAGUCAUGCAAAAGGCGACAGAAAUGAUGUAUCUUUAAAAAAAAAAAAUAAUACACAGACAGGAAGAGGCAAGAGAAGCACAGCGUUAAGCCUAGGAAUUUGGCCUGCCUUGCUGUACUCUGGUUGCUGGUAAGGAAAGCCCACAGAUGUGACACUCAGUUAACGUUAAAAGUUAAAUUUCAUGCUUUACACCAAAAAAAAAAA